Cricetulus griseus (Chinese hamster) is the source of this 500-nucleotide non-coding RNA. The record is from RefSeq and is a predicted model, not a curated record. NCBI's taxonomy places the organism in Eukaryota, Metazoa, Chordata, Mammalia, Rodentia, Cricetidae.
CUCUGGGCCCGCGCUCGCUUCUUAGAGGACCCCCGGGUCCUAGCGCGUCGUUUCCCCGUACUGCUAUUUCCAAGUAAAGAAAACAGAAGACGCCAAAAGGGUACACUUCCCAUCGUACUGUUGCCAACCCAUCAUUAUGGAAAUCCCAGACAGGACUGACUAUCUACAUGCUUCUGCAGGUGACAGAUGGCUGUGGGAGGGAUCCCACAUUGAAGCAUGACAAGUGUGACAUACAUGACUGCACAGAUGCUUCAGAUUCCUCCCAAAAUCAAAUUAUUUGAGUAGCAUCCAAAGACAAACCCUAAGAAAUCUUGAAGUUGGAAACAUCAUCUAUUGCAACUCCGGAUGGUAUUUAAUAGAGAAGCAAGAGACAGUAACUAUUUUAAAAUUAAGAAAUUAGAGCUGGAGAGAUGGCAAAGUGGCUGCUCUUCUGGUGGACUGGAGUUCAAUUUCCAGCACCCACAUGGCAGAUCGCAACCUGUUACUCACGUUCCAAUGGA